Molecule: ribosomal RNA, 998 nt
Filed under: Escherichia coli
Lineage: Bacteria; Pseudomonadati; Pseudomonadota; Gammaproteobacteria; Enterobacterales; Enterobacteriaceae
Description: bacterial SSU rRNA
Rfam family: Bacterial small subunit ribosomal RNA
Source: RNAcentral
AUGGAGAGUUUGAUUCUGGCUCAGAACGAACGCUGGCGGCGUGGAUAAGACAUGCAAGUCGAACGAGAGAAUUGCUAGCUUGCUAAUAAUUCUCUAGUGGCGCACGGGUGAGUAACACGUGAGUAACCUGCCCCCGAGAGCGGGAUAGCCCUGGGAAACUGGGAUUAAUACCGCAUAGUAUCGAAAGAUUAAAGCAGCAAUGCGCUUGGGGAUGGGCUCGCGGCCUAUUAGUUAGUUGGUGAGGUAACGGCUCACCAAGGCGAUGACGGGUAGCCGGUCUGAGAGGAUGUCCGGCCACACUGGAACUGAGACACGGUCCAGACACCUACGGGUGGCAGCAGUCGAGAAUCAUUCACAAUGGGGGAAACCCUGAUGGUGCGACGCCGCGUGGGGGAAUGAAGGUCUUCGGAUUGUAAACCCCUGUCAUGUGGGAGCAAAUUAAAAAGAUAGUACCACAAGAGGAAGAGACGGCUAACUCUGUGCCAGCAGCCGCGGUAAUACAGAGGUCUCAAGCGUUGUUCGGAAUCACUGGGCGUAAAGCGUGCGUAGGCUGUUUCGUAAGUCGUGUGUGAAAGGCGCGGGCUCAACCCGCGGACGGCACAUGAUACUGCGAGACUAGAGUAAUGGAGGGGGAACCGGAAUUCUCGGUGUAGCAGUGAAAUGCGUAGAUAUCGAGAGGAACACUCGUGGCGAAGGCGGGUUCCUGGACAUUAACUGACGCUGAGGCACGAAGGCCAGGGGAGCGAAAGGGAUUAGAUACCCCUGUAGUCCUGGCAGUAAACGGUGCACGCUUGGUGUGCGGGGAAUCGACCCCCUGCGUGCCGGAGCUAACGCGUUAAGCGUGCCGCCUGGGGAGUACGGUCGCAAGAUUAAAACUCAAAGAAAUUGACGGGGACCCGCACAAGCGGUGGAGUAUGUGGCUUAAUUCGAUGCAACGCGAAGAACCUUACCUGGGCUUGACAUCCACAGAACUUUCCAGAGAUGGAUUGGUGCCUUCG